RNAcentral lists this ribosomal RNA (441 nucleotides) under uncultured bacterium. RNAcentral's name for it is "partial 16S ribosomal RNA". It matches the Rfam family "Bacterial small subunit ribosomal RNA", at positions 338 to 795 of the family's 1533-position model. The record is from RNAcentral.
CCUACGGGUGGCAGCAGUGGGGGAUAUUGCACAAUGGGGGGAACCCUGAUGCAGCGACGCCGCGUGGGUGAAGGAGCGUUUAGGCGCGUUAAGCCCUAUCGGCAGGGAAGAAGGAGGACGGUACCUGACUAAGAAGCCCCGGCUAACUACGUGACAGCAGCCGCGGUAAUACGCAGGGGGCAAGCGUUAUCCGGAUUUACUGGGUGUAAAGGGAGCGUAGACGGCGAUGCAAGUCUGAAGUGAAAGGCGGGGGCCCAACCCCCGGACUGCUUUGGAAACUGUAUGGCUGGAGUGCAGGAGAGGUAAGUGGAAUGCGUGGUGUAGCGGUGAAAUGCGUAGAUAUUAGGAGGAACACCAGUGGCGAAGGCGGCUUACUGGACUGUAACUGACGUUGAGGCUCGAAAGCGUGGGGAGCAAACAGGAUUAGAUACCCCGGUAGUC